ACAUACGACCAUACCUGCAGUAAAAUACGGGAUCCCGUCCGCUCUCCCAUAGUCAAGCCUGCAAGGGGCGGAUUAGUAGUUGGGUCGGUGACGACCAGCGAAUACCUGCUGUUGUAUGUU
This is a ribosomal RNA of Fusarium verticillioides 7600, 120 nucleotides long. The record is from Rfam. Lineage: Eukaryota; Fungi; Ascomycota; Sordariomycetes; Hypocreales; Nectriaceae.